CACGUAGUUAGCCGGCGCUUCCUUCCGCAGGUACACGUCACCUUCGUCCCUGCCGAAAGAGGUUUACAACCCGAAGGCCUUCAUCCCCCACGCGGCGUCGCUGCGUCAGGCUUCCGCCCAUUGCGCAAUAUUCCCCACUGCUGCCUCCCGUAGGAGUCUGGGCCGUGUCUCAGUCCCAGUGUGGCCGGUCGCCCUCUCAGGCCGGCUACCCGUCGUCGCCUUGGUAGGCCACUACCCCACCAACAAGCUGAUAGGCCGCGAGCCCACCCCCGACCGGAAGAACCAAAAGGCCCAACCUUUCCACCCACCCCCAUGCGAGAGCAGGUCAUAUCCGGUAUUAGACCCGGUUUCCCAGGCUUAUCCCAGUGUCCAGGGACAGGUUGCUCACGUGUUACUCACCCGUUCGCCGCCCGAGUACCCCCGAAGGGGCCUUCCGCUCGACUUGCAUGUGUUAAGCACGCCGCCUAGCGUGUCGUCGAGCCACGGUAGUCAACGUAC
RNAcentral lists this ribosomal RNA (498 nucleotides) under uncultured Microbispora sp. RNAcentral describes it as "partial 16S ribosomal RNA". The record is from RNAcentral. Lineage: Bacteria; Bacillati; Actinomycetota; Actinomycetes; Streptosporangiales; Streptosporangiaceae.